UGCGUAGGCGGGGCAAUUAAUCAGUGGUGAAAUCCUGCGGCUUAACCGUAGAACUGCCAUUGAUACUGUUGCUCUUGAGUAUAGUUGAGGUGGGCGGAAUGUGUAAUGUAGCGGUGAAAUGCAUAGAUAUUACACAGAACACCAAUUGCGAAGGCAGCUCACUAAGCUAUAACUGACGCUGAGGCACGAAAGCGUGGGGAGCGAACAGGAUUAGAUACCCUGGUAGUCC
RNAcentral lists this ribosomal RNA (229 nucleotides) under uncultured bacterium. RNAcentral describes it as "partial 16S ribosomal RNA". It matches the Rfam family "Bacterial small subunit ribosomal RNA", at positions 568 to 796 of the family's 1533-position model. The record is from RNAcentral.